GCGGGAGUGGUGUAACGGUAGCCACGCCAGACUUAGGAUCUGGUGCCUUCGGGCGUGGGGGUUCGACUCCCCCCUCCCGCA
This 81-nucleotide transfer RNA is filed under the name Blastococcus sp. CT_GayMR19. It matches the Rfam family "tRNA". From Rfam's summary of the family: Transfer RNA (tRNA) molecules are approximately 80 nucleotides in length. Their secondary structure includes four short double-helical elements and three loops (D, anti-codon, and T loops). The record is from Rfam by way of RNAcentral. Lineage: Bacteria; Bacillati; Actinomycetota; Actinomycetes; Geodermatophilales; Geodermatophilaceae.